This 361-nucleotide transfer-messenger RNA is filed under the name Desulfolithobacter dissulfuricans. It matches the Rfam family "transfer-messenger RNA". From Rfam's summary of the family: Bacterial tmRNA, also known as 10Sa RNA or SsrA, is named for its dual tRNA and mRNA-like properties. Its role is to liberate the mRNA from a stalled ribosome. To accomplish this part of the tmRNA is used as a reading frame that ends in a translation stop signal. The record is from Rfam by way of RNAcentral. Lineage: Bacteria; Pseudomonadati; Thermodesulfobacteriota; Desulfobulbia; Desulfobulbales; Desulfobulbaceae.
GGGGGCGAAACGGAUUCGACGGGGAUACAUAAGCUCAGGCUGCAUGCCGAGGAUUCCGCCAACCUCGUAAAACAGGUGGAACGUAAAUAUAGUCGCAGACGACUAUGCAUAUGCUGUGGCAGCAUAAAUAAGCCACUGCUCCCCGGUUACUCCUGCGGACCGGGUAAGAGCAUCGACUAGCGGGAUAGCUUCCGGGGUUCUCCGGUGGCUCCGGCGGCGAAACUCCACAGCGGAUAGUGCUGACAGCCCCUUGUCCUGGAGGGGCCAAGGCACGAUAAACAACCCCUUCACAGGACUAAGCAUGUAGACGCCUGCAGGGGAGUAUCUCCGGACGCGGGUUCGACUCCCGCCGCCUCCACCA